AUUCAGUUAGUAAAUACCCGCCCACGCACCUUCCAAGGCACGGCGAGCAGCAGCAAAUCCAGAUGGUGCAAAGGAGCCUGAUGAGAAGAAUGACCUGGUUCAAAGUGCAGAUGUUGGAGGACAUAUCCUGCGUGUCUGUAAAACUGCAGAUGAAGCAGAUAUUUGCCAUUACUGCCCACUAUUGAAGUACCAGCCUUUCUUCUUCACUAACCACACGCUGCAAACAACAAUGACCCAUCAUCUUCUGCUCUUCUAACAGAUACUCAGGGAAAAUGAAGCUGGAAGGCUUAUACCCAAGACUGCCACAAGGAACGUAGAGCAACACAAAGCCAUUUUAAAGAAGUUUCCUUUGGGAUAGAACAUCAGAAAAAUGAUCUGCAAACCUGUUAAAAUGUAUAUAGUUUAAAGACUGGAAGACAAGUCUUUCUCUGAUUAUUUCAGUGGAGCCAUAUUGACACUAGGUCUGGUCACAGGAAUUAUGUGCUUUAAGGUGUGUAGAAGCUUCUUAUGAGAGAUGCCAAAAUAUGCUUCUU
Apus apus (common swift) is the source of this 533-nucleotide long non-coding RNA. RefSeq lists it as uncharacterized. Lineage: Eukaryota; Metazoa; Chordata; Aves; Apodiformes; Apodidae. The transcript is spliced from 3 exons. The record is from RefSeq and is a predicted model, not a curated record.